GACGAACGCUGGCGGCGUGCUUAACACAUGCAAGUCGAACGGAAAGGCCCUGCUUUUGUGGGGUGCUCGAGUGGCGAACGGGUGAGUAACACGUGAGUAACCUGCCCUUGACUUUGGGAUAACUUCAGGAAACUGGGGCUAAUACCGGAUAGGAGCUCCUGCUGCAUGGUGGGGGUUGGAAAGUUUCGGCGGUUGGGGAUGGACUCGCGGCUUAUCAGCUUGUUGGUGGGGUAGUGGCUUACCAAGGCUUUGACGGGUAGCCGGCCUGAGAGGGUGACCGGCCACAUUGGGACUGAGAUACGGCCCAGAGUCCUACGGGAGGCAGCAGUGGGGAAUAUUGCACAAUGGGCGGAAGCCUGAUGCAGCGACGCCGCGGUCGGGAUGACGGCCUUCGGGUUGUAAACCGCUUUAGCCUGUGACGAAGCGUGAGUGACGGUAAUGGGUAAAGAAGCACCGGCUAACUACGUG
Molecule: ribosomal RNA, 468 nt
Filed under: uncultured bacterium
Lineage: Bacteria
Description: partial 16S ribosomal RNA
Rfam family: Bacterial small subunit ribosomal RNA
Source: RNAcentral